CCCUUAGAUGUUCUGGGCCGCACGCGUGCUACACUGAUGCAUUCAACGAGUCUAAAACCUGGUCUGAUAGGGCUGGGUAAUCUUUUGAAAGUGCAUCGUGAUUGGGAUAGAUGAUUGCAAUUCUUCAUCUUCAACGAGGAAUGCCUAGUAAACGCAAGUCAUCAGCUUGCAUUGAUUACGUCCCUGCCCUUUGUACACACCGCCCGUCGCUCCUACCGAUUGAAUGAUCCGAUGAAUACCAUGGAUUGAGAGUACGAAUAGGUUCGCUUAUUUCUGCUUCUCGAGAAGUGGAGGAAAUCUUAUCAUUUAGAGGAAGGAGAAGGCGUAACA
Molecule: ribosomal RNA, 330 nt
Filed under: uncultured eukaryote
Lineage: Eukaryota
Description: partial 18S ribosomal RNA
Rfam family: Eukaryotic small subunit ribosomal RNA
Source: RNAcentral